AUAUAUCACACACAUGAAUAAUAAUUCAGAUCUAUGUAUGCUUCAUAUGUCACAUAAAUGAAUAAAUUCAAGUCAUAAAAAAUAAUUUUAGAUCUGAACAAAUAAUCACAUAUCAUAUAUAUGAAUAAAAUUCAUAUUAUAAAAACUAAUUUUAGAUCUGAAUUUUAUUCUACAAACAAAUUAGAUCCAAAACAAACCCUACUUAACAUCUUC
This 213-nucleotide long non-coding RNA is filed under the name Elaeis guineensis (African oil palm). RNAcentral's name for it is "long non-coding RNA (EGUI_LNC071664)". Lineage: Eukaryota; Viridiplantae; Streptophyta; Magnoliopsida; Arecales; Arecaceae. The record is from RNAcentral.